UUAGAUGAUCACACUUGAAUCUUAAGGCUUCAAUAUGGCUUCUUGUUCCCUAACUUCUAUCCUGUUUUGGCAGGUCUGUCUUGCUUUCUGCCACUUAUAACCCAAUUAUUUGUUCCCUUUGAGGCCAAAACAGAGAAGGAGAAACAGAAUCCCUGUUAGCUAACAUGAUGUGAAGGGUCAACAAAGCCUCUCUGAGGAAGUGACAUUUGUUUUGAGCCUGAUGAUGUAUAGGAAUGAGUCAAGGGAAGUUCAGGUAAAAAGUGGACCUAUUAGAGGGACAGCAAAGAGAAGCCUGAUUUCUUUAAGGUACAAAGAAAGGAUUGGUGUGGUUUGAAUGCAGGGAGGGGUUGUAUCAGUAAUAUACCUAAUCAUGUAGGGCUUGUGGUUAUGAUUAAAGACUUUGAGCUUGAUUAUUAAAACCAGUGGAAAUCUGCUGAGGGUCAGGAGCAUGAUCACAUUUGAUGAUUUACAAGAUACUUUAGGCUGCUGCAGGAAAGUUUUGGAGUAGGCAAAGCUUAGACGCAGAGGGGCUAGUUGAGGUGGUAUUAUGGUAGUCUAGCAAGAGACAUUGGGGGCUUUCCAAAAUACUGACAAGUCGUGGGGAGCAGAGGAGGAAACACUAGAUUUGGGAUACAUUCGGGGACAGAAUUGUCUUGGCUAGACGAUUGAAAGGGAGCUCGAGAGAGUGGCAGGGAUGAGUCAAGUUUCAUAACUGAGCCCCUGAAGGAAGGGAGGAGUUCUGUUUGGUAAAGGAACAGACUAAGAGAAGGGAGUGCAAGGAGGUGAGUUUCCUUGUGGACAUCAUCUUCCUUUCCAAGUAAUAGGGAGAAUGUCCUAGCAUUUACAUGUCUGGUGACAGCAGCGCUAUUGUGUCACGUAAUUUUCUGACUACACAAAACUGUUUAAAUCCAGUUCAGUUCUAUUUUAAAUCCUUCUCAUCUUACUGAGGACAAAAAGAUACUAUGUUGACAUUCUGGAUUUUGCUAUCUUUUCAAGAUAGUAAAGACGUAUUGUAAUGAGGUUUAAUAAGCAUCUUCACUCUGUGUGAACUCUGACAGGGAGAAGUUUGACACGUUUCAUUUGUCUGGGCUCCAGCGGUGCCAUCGCUGAGUGCAGUGAGGGAAUCUGCAACACUACAGCUGUGCUAGCGUCUGUACCAUUGUGUCGGAGUCCUUAGGAGGCCUUCCUCUUCUGUUGGAGCUUUUUAGCUUCAGGUAACUUUGGACUGACUUUCCCCAAGAGCAAAUUAUUAGAAAUUGAAUAAAAACGUUUCCACUGGGUUUUGCCUGCAAGAAAAAAAAUGUACCCGAGCCCAUAGAGCUUUUUAAUAAUAGCACUAAACAAUGCCUUUUUAGAUGUAUUUUUGAUGUAUAUAUCUAUUAUUAAAAAAUGAUGUUUAUUUUGAGUCCUAGGACCUAAAAUUAGUGUUUUGUAAUAUCAAGAAGGACCUUUAAAAUGAAGCUGAGCUUUUCAUGCAGGGUGCAAUCUACUGGAAAUGUAGCACUUAUGUGAAAUAUUUGUUUCCCCCACAGUUUUAAUAUAAACAAAAUGAAUACCAAAUAAAUUUCCCACUGAAAGAUUAUUGUGACUUCACUGUAUAUAAACAGAUUUUUAUACUUUAUUGAAAGGGGACACCUGUACAUUCUUCCAUCGUCACUGUAAAGAAAAAUAAAUGAUUAUAUUCACAGACUGAUUGGAACUUUUUCUGUUAAAGAGCACACACAAUAAGUAAGGACGAAAGUAGCCCCUUCUUAAUAUUCCUGAUACACAUUUCACUUUGAUCCUUGGGCCUUAGCUUUGAAACAGAGGUGGUGGAAAGUAAUUCAUGCACUUGCUGUGUGCCUCCAGACAUGUUGAGAAUUGUGCUUUCACCGGAAGUUUACAUUGUCAUCUAGCAUGUGACUAAUACUUUUGACAGUUCUGUUUUUAAAAAAGACUUUUUCUUUCUUUCCACAUGAGUUAGGUACACAGGUACACUUUAGGUAUUACUUGAAGUUCAUGUUGUUUUUGCUAAAACGGUUUUCACUUUAACUAACAUCCAGCAGUUUACUAAGUUCACAGGUGCAGGUCAGACUCUUACCACAGUGAGAGGCAGCUCCUAGGCAGAGUUGCUUAAAGAGCCAGACUGUGGUACUUUACUAAUCAGUAUCCAGCCUCUAAAGUAUUAACAUUUUUCUUUCUUUCUUUCUUUUUUUUUUUUUUUUUUUGGUACCGGGGAUCGAACUAGGGACCUUGCACUUGUGAGGCGGGCACUGGAACCACUGAGCUAAAUCCCCGGCCCUAACAUUUUUAUUUCUGUUGAAACUCAUAUGCCUAACUUCUAUUACCACUUAAAUUUCUUUUUUCUUGGUUAAAUUUCAUGAUGUCUAAUUACAUAAGCUGGCAUUGCUUUAUUCAUUAAUUUUAAAAUCUAAACAUAAUUCAAGGAAGGAGGAGUGGCUAUAAUUAAAGCAAAAUUUGAGAAAUGCAGCAAAAACUGAUGUCGUUCUACAGGAAUAGUUUAUGUACUUCUUUCUUAUUUCAUUUUAAAUUAGACCUGAUAGAGCACUUAUUAGCAUGGCCCCAGGUUCAAUCCUCAACAUGACAAUAAACAAGUAAAUAAAUAAAAAUAAAAUUAGACCACAUCUGAUGUGGUCAACGAUGUGACCAAUUCUGUAUCACUGUCACUGUACAUUUUAUUAUCAGUACCUCUAGCUUCCUUUAAUUCUCAAAGGGAAAGAGGAAGAGGAGGUUAGUUAAAGCAAUAUGACUGGCUAAAUUUGGGGCAUUGUGUUUCUGGACCUUUAUUGUCAAACUAUGUAAAUACUUCUUGUAAUUCCUGGUUUAUAUUCCAGUUUGAUCCCCAGACCAUAGGAUACAAAUUUCCUUGGAACAGCUGUGCUGGUGGAUGAGUCUCUGGGAGGACAGUUGGUAGAUGGUCCUUGGUUUGGGUCCAUCAGUGUCCUAAGUGGGGUGGGUGGAGAGUUAAUAUCAAUUUCUUUUUAAGAGCUAGUAUGACUAAUUAGAAGGAUAGCCAAAGGUUUUUCUCCUCCUCCCCCUUGAAGUCCAUGAGUCUCUAUUUGCAAUCAAGCUGGGGUAGUUUCACCUUGAUGAUCAUAUAUUCUUUUUACAAUGCAAGCCAACCAAGAUACCUGUGUUUUUUCUGAACAGAUUUGUAAAAGUAAAAACACAGUGUACAUACUAUAAAACUUUUUCUUAUAUACUUUGCUCAGGUAGAGAACAAGAUCUGAAAACUUAAAUGAUAUCCUACUGGGGACCAUUCUAUAAUAAGUCCAGGAGGUUCCCAAUAUGUGGACAGGACUUGUCCAAAAUCAAGUUCAUCAUCUCAUCCCCACAAACUUACCACCAUCGUGCAUUUCCCAAUUUGAGUAAAAGCAAAGCAGAAGUAGCUCAGGAGUGAUCCUGCAUGUCCUCCCUUUUUUUUCCUUGUGACAUUUGUCAAUCCUUUUAGAACUACUGUAUUAACUCCACUUUUUACAUGCACGCCACAUCCCUUGUCCGUCCCAUUGUUAUGGAAACCUUCCCUCUCCUCUAGACUUCCAGUGGCUUCCUUUAUUUCGCCUGUUCACUGUCUCUUUCUUUUAUCUCCUCCAUGUAGUCAUCAGAGUGAUUCUCAAAAUAGGGCAAAGUGGUUGAAUACUUUUCCUGCUCAAAAUUCCUCAGUAGUAGGAAUGGAGUAGUUUAGAGUUAUUUUUAAGAGCAAGCACUUUGAGAUUAGGAGAACCUGUGUCUGAAUCCUAGUUUUGCCAUUUGUGUGACUUAUCUGGUUACUUAAUCUUUGAUCCUGUUCCUCCUCAGUGAAAUAAGAAUAAUACCUACCUCAUAAGAGUUGUUGUGGGGAUUCAGUGAGAUACUGUCUAUAACGUGUUUAGCACAGUGCCUGGUGUGUAGUGUGUGUACACAGAACAUUAUUGUUAUCCCCAGGUGUCAGUUUUAUGUCACUUCCAAGAGACACUUUUUGAUAACCCUGACUAUCCCUACCCUAACACUAUAUUUUCAGUA
RNAcentral lists this long non-coding RNA (4002 nucleotides) under Heterocephalus glaber (naked mole-rat). RNAcentral describes it as "lncRNA (ENSHGLG00000042560.1)". Lineage: Eukaryota; Metazoa; Chordata; Mammalia; Rodentia; Bathyergidae. The record is from RNAcentral.